This 640-nucleotide long non-coding RNA is filed under the name Gossypium barbadense (sea-island cotton). Its description in RNAcentral is "long non-coding RNA (GBAR_LNC018702)". Lineage: Eukaryota; Viridiplantae; Streptophyta; Magnoliopsida; Malvales; Malvaceae. The record is from RNAcentral.
UGAUAUGUAAAUGUUUUGAAUGAAACUAGCCAUUAGAAUGGCUUGUGUUUGACAUAUUUUGAUAUAUUUAUAAGUGGAUCUAUCAUGUUUGAAGAAUAAAUGUGAUCAUACAUAUAUGCAUUUAGUAAAUAGGUAAGUAUGAAUGAUAGAUUAACAUGAUAAUAAAUUGUCAUCUGAGGUACCUAAGGGUAUAUUAGUUGUAUGUGAUAUUAUUUCAUGUUUAAGACAUGAUUUGGACUUGUUUUAAAUACUUUGAUAUGGUUUGUGAAUGUGUUUAAGUGUUGGUAUAGGUGGAAGACGAAUUGGGUGAGAAAUGUGGCUUGGAAAAUAGCCUAUUAUCGUUCACACGGGCAAAGACACGGGUGUGUGUCUUAGCCGUGUGUGACACAUGGCCUAGUAAAAGGGCGUGUGACACAUGGCCUAGUAAAAGGGCGUGUGACACAUGGCCUAGUAAAAGGGCGUGUGAUUUGGCUGUCUGACCCUUGCACCUUCACAUGGCUUAGUACACGAGCGUGUGACUUGGCCGUGUGACCCAAGUCAGAGAGUUACAUGACUUGAGACACGGGCGUAUCCCUUGGUCGUGUGAACCACACGGGCGUGUGACCCUUGUACUUAAGAAAAAUUUUGAGAUUUUGCGAAG